UCAAUGCAAACUAACGAACAUUUUUGUAAAAUUUUUCAUCACUUUCCCACGUAAUAGAUACAUGGUGAAAAAGCAAUUGCAAGGGAAAGGAUCUAUGCAUCCCAAUGUUGUGAUGUCAUUCAUGUGAAUGUCAUUGAACAACAUGAAGGAAACAUUGCAGCAAAGAGCCAGUAACAAAUUAUCAGUUAUUUUGGAUGACAGGCUAAUCAUGCGUCCCAUUCUUGCAAACUGAAUGAAAUGCAUUUUACGUGCUUCACUAAUGGGAAUGCUUAAGUACCCCUUGGGCUGCACCUCGUAAAGAUUGUCAGCCCAAUAUGAGCACUAUGAAAAUUCCAUGAGACAUUGGAGAUGAACAAACUACACUUAGUGCGAUAAGAGGUAGCCAAGAAAAUGGACAUGAAUACUCCUGCUAAAAAGAAGGUGCAUUCUAGAUAGUUAUCCAAAAUGAUCAUGAAUACUCCUGCUAAAAAGAAGGCAGAAGUUGAAAAUAAAAGAGCAUUUGAAGCAACUUUGAAGAUACUCAUGAUUUGGCAAAGCAAGCCAUCGUGGCUCCUUCAAAAUAUCUAUUGGGGAAUGUAGUCUUCAAGACCCAGACUAGCAGUCCACAAAGCGUGUACAACCACGCCGCACACAUCGCUACCGCCUGUCAUCUCUAAUCUUGAGUUGUAGAGCGAGAACCCACAAUUGGGAGUGGCUAUUGGCGACUGGAGUUGUCUAGAGAUCGGCCAGUGUUCCCAUUCUGUUUCGUUCAACUGCAUGCGUUAAAUACCCGAUUUUAAGGACAAAACCAGAUAUGCACUAUAUGUGAGUUUUAGAA
This is a long non-coding RNA of Sorghum bicolor (sorghum), 817 nucleotides long. RefSeq lists it as uncharacterized. NCBI's taxonomy places the organism in Eukaryota, Viridiplantae, Streptophyta, Magnoliopsida, Poales, Poaceae. The transcript has 2 exons. The record is from RefSeq and is a predicted model, not a curated record.